Molecule: small nuclear RNA, 104 nt
Organism: Pteronotus mesoamericanus
Lineage: Eukaryota; Metazoa; Chordata; Mammalia; Chiroptera; Mormoopidae
Source: RefSeq, a predicted model, not a curated record
GUUCACUUUGGCAGCACAUAUACUAAAGUUGGAAGGACAGAGAGAAGGUUAGCUGGUCCCCGUGCGAGGGUGACACACAAAUGUGUGAAGGAUUACACAUUUUA